This 704-nucleotide long non-coding RNA is filed under the name Gossypium barbadense (sea-island cotton). RNAcentral's name for it is "long non-coding RNA (GBAR_LNC009430)". The record is from RNAcentral. Lineage: Eukaryota; Viridiplantae; Streptophyta; Magnoliopsida; Malvales; Malvaceae.
UUUUCAACUUCAAGCACAGCGAUGGUGGAUCUUGAAAACGAUAAUUGUCACGACCUAAAGCUCGAUCCAGAUCAUCAUCAUCAACAACAUCCCAUGAUCUUUCAACAACGAUUGAUUUAUUUAGAUCAGCUUUCUCCGGCAUCAACUGUAGAGUAACGAAACCCUUGUUUCCAUCGUUAUCUUCUCUAGCUCUAUCCAAGAUUCGUUUCUUCCUAGUAUUAUUUUUCUCGCAAACCCUAACGUACUUUCUCUUCUUUCUCUUGCUAGUAACAUCCAAGUUCUUGCUAUUAAGGAUAGACUCACUGGAAUCCGAAUCUCCGUUCACCGGUUUUGGAGCAAUCGGCCUGAAUUUGAGCAUUAUCCGAUUGAUUAUCGUCUUAUCGUAUACACCCCCGGAGUAUUUUACCAUGCUCCAAUGAUUCCCACCCUCCAUUUCUCCUUUUUCCAAGAAAAAAUAAACACAACAAUUCCUCUCUCCCUGUUUUAUCUUGAAAUUUCCUUUGGGUUUUUUUUUUAUUUUAUCGUUCAGAUUUUUUUUUUCUGUUUCUGUUAUUUUGUUCUCCUAAGGAGGGUUUACCGGAGAAUAAUGAAGCGAAAAUCAUAGCGGCAGCAAUCGUGGCCAAGAUCCGGGGAUACACGUGUCAAGAUCUCAUAGCUCUACACCUGAAACAAUGACGAGGGUUGAUUGGCUAAGUGGGUCCCAG